GACGAACGCUGGCGGCGUGCUUAACACAUGCAAGUCGAACGAUGAACCCGGAGCUUGCUCCGGCGGAUUAGUGGCGAACGGGUGAGUAACACGUGAGUAACCUGCCCUUGACUCUGGGAUAACUGCUAGAAAUGGUAGCUAAUACCGGAUACGACCCUCGGUGGCAUCACCAGGGGGUGGAAAGAAUUUCGGUCAAGGAUGGACUCGCGGCCUAUCAGCUAGUUGGUGAGGUAACGGCUCACCAAGGCGACGACGGGUAGCCGGCCUGAGCGGGUGACCGGCCACACUGGGACUGAGACACGGCCCAGACUCCUACGGGAGGCAGCAGUGGGGAAUAUUGGACAAUGGGCGCAAGCCAGAUGCAGCGACGCCGCGUGAGGGAUGACGGCCUUCGGGUUGUAAACCUCUUUCAGCAUCGACGAAGCGAAAGUGACGGUAGGUGCAGAAGAAGGACCGGCCAACUACGUGCCAGCCGCCGCGGUAA
RNAcentral lists this ribosomal RNA (484 nucleotides) under uncultured bacterium. RNAcentral's name for it is "partial 16S ribosomal RNA". It matches the Rfam family "Bacterial small subunit ribosomal RNA", at positions 28 to 523 of the family's 1533-position model. The record is from RNAcentral.